AUUGAACGCUGGCGGCAGGCUUAACACAUGCAAGUCGAACGAGCGGCGGACGGGUGAGUAAUGCCUGGGAAUCUAGCUGAUGGAGGGGGAUAACUACGGGAAACUGUAGCUAAUACCGCGUACCAUAGGAUGAGCCCCAGUGGGAUUAGCUAGUUGGUGGGGUAAAGGCGCACCAAGGCGACGAGCCCUAGCUGGUCUGAGAGGAUGACCAGCCACCCUGGAACUGAGACACGGCCCAGACUCCUACGGGAGGCAGCAGUGGGGAAUAUUGCGCAAUGGGCGCAACCCUUACGCAGCCAUGCCGCGUGAAUGAAGAAGGCCUUCGGGUUGUAAAGUACUUUCAGCAGGGAGGCGUUACCUACAGAAGAAGCACCGGCUAACUCCGUGCCAGCAGCCGCGGUAAUAC
RNAcentral lists this ribosomal RNA (406 nucleotides) under uncultured bacterium. RNAcentral's name for it is "partial 16S ribosomal RNA". It matches the Rfam family "Bacterial small subunit ribosomal RNA", at positions 30 to 526 of the family's 1533-position model. The record is from RNAcentral.